Molecule: ribosomal RNA, 253 nt
Filed under: uncultured bacterium
Lineage: Bacteria
Description: partial 16S ribosomal RNA
Rfam family: Bacterial small subunit ribosomal RNA
Source: RNAcentral
UACGUAGGUGGCAAGCGUCGUCCGGAUUUACUGGGCGUAAAGGAUGCGUAGGCGGACAUUUAAGUCAGAUGUGAAAUACCCGAGCUUAACUUGGGUGCUGCAUUUGAAACUGGGUGUCUAGAGUGCAGGAGAGGUAAGUGGAAUUCCUGGUGUAGCGGUGAAAUGCGUAGAGAUUAGGAAGAACACCAGUGGCGAAGGCGACUUACUGGACUGUAACUGACGCUGAGGCAUGAAAGCGUGGGGAGCAAACAGG